CCCUUAGAUGUUCUGGGCCGCACGCGCGCUACACUGAUGCAUUCAACGAGCCUAUCCUUGACCGACAGGUCCGGGUAAUCUUUGAAUCUGCAUCGUGACGGGGAUAGAUUAUUGCAAUUAUUAACCUUCAACGAGGAAUGCCUAGUAGGCGCAAGUCAUCAGCUUGCGUCGAUUACGUCCCUGCCCUUUGUACACACCGCCCGUCGCUCCUACCGAUUGGGUGUGCUGGUGAAAUGUUCGGAUCGGCCGUUUGUCGCGGUUUCCGCGGCUCGUGGCUGAGAAGUUCAUUAAACCCUCCCACCUAGAGGAAGGAGAAGUCGUAACA
RNAcentral lists this ribosomal RNA (325 nucleotides) under uncultured eukaryote. RNAcentral describes it as "partial 18S ribosomal RNA". It matches the Rfam family "Eukaryotic small subunit ribosomal RNA", at positions 1470 to 1796 of the family's 1831-position model. The record is from RNAcentral.